UCGCGGGUGACCGCGAAUCUGAAGGAUGCCCGAGGCAAAAUGCUGGCCUGACGUAUAGGAAGCGGAUAGAGGCGUCGUAGUGGGGUGAGGUCGCAAUGACAGCCAAAGCCCAAUACUUGCACGGAGCACUACGGCGUAAAUCCGACAGGCAUAAGCAGGAAGGUCGCGCGA
RNAcentral lists this non-coding RNA (171 nucleotides) under Pseudomonas extremaustralis. The record is from RNAcentral. Lineage: Bacteria; Pseudomonadati; Pseudomonadota; Gammaproteobacteria; Pseudomonadales; Pseudomonadaceae.